CCAAUAGCGUAUAUUAAAGUUGUUGCAGUUAAAAAGCUCGUAGUUGAAUUUCGGGAUUAGUACGUUGGUCGUGCCUUGGUACGUACUGGUGUAACUGAUUCCUCCCUUCUGACGAACCGUUAUGCCAUUAAUUUGGUGUGGCGGGAAAUCAGGACUGUUACUUUGAAAAAAUUAGAGUGUUUAAAGCAGGCUCGCGCUGGAAUACAUUAUCAUGGAAUAAUAAAAUAGGACGUUAAUCCUAUUUUGUUGGUUUCUAGGAUCGACGUAAUGAUUAAUAGGGAGAGUUGGGGGCAUUAGUAUUCAAUUGUCAGAGGUGAAAUUCUUGGAUUUAUUGAAGACUAACUACUGCGAAAGCAUUUGCCAAGAAUGUUUUCAUUAAUCAAGAACGAAAGUUAGAGGUUCGAAGGCGAUCAGAUACCGCCCUAGUUCUAACCAUAAACGAUGCCAACCAGCGAUUAGCCUGAGUUCCUUAAAUGACUCGGCUAGCAGCUUCCG
Molecule: unclassified non-coding RNA, 495 nt
Filed under: uncultured Glomus
Lineage: Eukaryota; Fungi; Glomeromycota; Glomeromycetes; Glomerales; Glomeraceae
Description: bacterial SSU rRNA
Rfam family: Eukaryotic small subunit ribosomal RNA
Source: RNAcentral